GGAUUAUCUCUAUUGGGAUCAGAGACUAUAAGGGGCUGUUCUCUUCGUAUUUCAGUCGAAGGAAGCAAUACAUACAUUACCCGCUUGUGCUUUCCAUUCACAAUCUAAUUUCAUUGAGAAAAAGAUAAAUUCUGACCAAACAGAAACUACACAAAUUACCAACUAAUAGCAGUGAUAGUAGCCUUACACUAAUAUGAGUUACUAUCAAACCAUUACAUGGAAGGUCAGGUAGAGGCCUUAAUAUUACCAAAAGAAACUUUAAAAAGAAGCAGAAUUUUAAACAAGUUAUGCCAAAUCACAGCAUGGCAUUCCAAAAUCACAUUAAUCCAAGUAUCAGCAAGUUGUCGAGGCAUGAAUUGCCCAAGGAAUGCUUUACUCUUGUAAUACAGGGUCUAGACCAGAAUCCCAAGUAGCUGUGGCAACCAUUCUUCAAAAUAUUUGAUUUCUACAUCUGGUUCCAGAUUCAUGAACAUGGAUCUUGAUACAUUGCUUCUUUGAGACGCUGUUGUAAAAUAAAAUUGAAAUUGAAAUCCACAAAAGAGAAUAGGGCAGCCAAUUUUGACCUGAUUGAGAACAAAAUUAGUAUUAAUUCAAAAUAGCAAAAUUAUAACACUAAUGUUACAAUAAUUCUCGUGUCUGCAGCAAUUCAUGUUCAUAAGUAAAUGAAAAUAUGCAAUGUUUGGCUACAUGAAAAGGGAAAAUCAACUAACUUUCCCAUAUUGUAACAUACCAGCGAUGGUUUUGAUAGAAGUUAUCAAGCUGAUAAUACACAUAAAUGGGAUGCUUCAUCUUCUUUGGAACCUGGAGAGAUGCUCAAAAGUUGUACAAUGAAAUCAAAAUAAUAAAGGAGAAAAGUGAAAGUGCUCAUGUAUUAAUACAAAAAGUUUCAAGGGAUUAAAUUGACAACUAAAUUCCUGAUAUAGGUUUUAUUUGUUUUUGCAUUCUGGAUGAAUGAAAGCCUCUCACGCUUUGCUGCCUUGUCGUCUCCAUUUGAAGGAAUACAAGUGUCAUCAUAUCGGUUGACAAUUUCCACUACCUAAAUGUAAGAAAAAUGAGAAACUUUUCUAAUACUAACCACUGAGGCUGAGAAGAGACUGCAACAAGAUAUGCUAGAAUAUUACAUGCUCUGAUGCAGACAAGGAACAAAGUGUUUUUUAGAACUUCUUGAGAAGCUCAACUUUAGGUAGCAAAAAUGCACUAAAAUGGCGUCAAACGUAUGGAUUAAUGUUCGUAUCCCACUUUAAUUCAUAUCAAUACAUUGAAUCUCAAAGACUAACAACAUCAUCCACAAAGUAAGCUCUUUUUAGAACAAUUGAAAAAUAAAACAAAAAGAAAUAUUGCAAGAAAUCAAACACUCAAGUCAUUCAAGACAACGUAGAUAAAAGAAACUCAAUAUUUGCUAAACCGAAUAUCAUACCUAGAUAAACCCUCUUUCCCAACCCAAAUGGAAGAUAUCAAAGUGAUUUCCUAAGAAAUCAACAGAAAUUUCUCAAAUCUCUCGGGUUCAAAACUUUUCGGAUUCUCCUAAUAGUUCUGAUCUCUUCCAAUAGUCCAAAUGUUCACAAUCACAUUGGAGUUGAGCGGUAUCCGAUAUACUCCACAUUCCUCUAGGCAUGCUCUUGGAAUUAUAGAAACAGGAGGGUGUAACCAUAAGGUUUAUUCAAUAACCAACUUGAUGUAUUUUAGCAUGUGAAUGUACGUCUCAUUAAUUUUUUCUUUCCAUUGAACGCUUACCUUAUUUCAUUUUGUAUUUUUGCCAUUACAUGCGUGUUUUUCAUUAGCUCUACCGCGGCCCAAUUAAGUGUUGACAUCGAAGAUUUCGUUCCAGCUUAAUAAAUAUGUCUUGCAACAUUGCAAUAUUUAGUAUUCAGAACAAAAUGUGGUAAGGGAAAAGAAAGCAUGCUUAACUAUAUAAUUAUAAGUCUAAAAAAUGACUGCUUUGAGAUUAUCAUCGGAAAUUUGAAAGUUAAAUUACCACUUUCCUUGAAUCUGAGAACAAUAACCACCAAAUCUUAACAGCCAAACUCCCCAUUUGCUUUAUUUGUUGCUAUCAAAUUGUUUCUAUGCUCAUCAAUAAUGGUGUCAAGAAUAACAUCAAGCUUACGCUGUAACUUCAACAACUUAAAAUCAUUACAACUGAUUAAAUUCAACACUUUCAUCAAGGGAAAUAAAUAAGCUAAAUCAAAAUGUCCUGCCAAAGCCAGUAGCUUUCUUUAUAAACCUUGUUGACAUCUCCCUAUCUCUACACACUUUACCAAACGCAGUUCUACAUGUUAUAAUACUUGUACACAAGAAAAAAAAAUUCUCUAUUAAAUCAAAUGGUGAUUCAGAAGUUGAUCGAAUCGAUUCAACUCGCCACAUGGUAAAUCCUUCUUGAUUGAGGCAAAUGAUCGAACAUUUUUCAGGCUUAACAUUUCCAAUAUAAAUUUCCUCGUUUGCUUUCAAAACAAACAAAAAAUAAAUAAAUUAAAUACAUAUUUUACCUUCAGCACAACUGAUGCGUGGAUAGAUGUAAGAUCAGGGUUUCUCUCCUUUGGCUUAAAAAUGGGUAUUCUGAAAUAGGAAUCUGGAAGGUUUUGAUCUUGCUUGAAUUUUCGGACUCCGAGGUUCGGUUGGUGUCAAUACCAGAAGGAUUGGGACUGGGUACAUCUAUAAUUUCUGGGAUGGUAGAGGAAGAUGAUAUACAAUUUUGAGGAAUGAGAGAAAAAAUAAUUCGAGGAGAGAUUGAAGAAGAGGAAGAAGAAAGAGAAGGAAGGGGCCAAGAUUUCAUUUUGGUUGAGGGAAAUGAAAGAAGAGGUGUUUCCCGUGUUUUGGAUUUGAAGCGUGUUUUUGUCCCAAAACACUCAAACCAUCUUCUUUUUUGGUUUUCAAAAAUUCUUUU
RNAcentral lists this long non-coding RNA (2881 nucleotides) under Olea europaea subsp. europaea. The record is from RNAcentral. Lineage: Eukaryota; Viridiplantae; Streptophyta; Magnoliopsida; Lamiales; Oleaceae.